This 974-nucleotide ribosomal RNA is filed under the name Ducula rubricera (red-knobbed imperial-pigeon). Its description in RNAcentral is "partial 16S ribosomal RNA". It matches the Rfam family "Bacterial large subunit ribosomal RNA", at positions 1273 to 2836 of the family's 2925-position model. Lineage: Eukaryota; Metazoa; Chordata; Aves; Columbiformes; Columbidae. The record is from RNAcentral.
CCUAUACCAAUAGGAGAAUUAAUGCUAAAAUGAGUAACUAGGGCACGUCUCCCUCUCAAGCGCAAACUUACAUCCACACAUUAUUACCAGACAACUAAUACCCCUACUCCAACAAGACUACAUAUUUCACCCCCUGUUAACCCAACCCAGGAGCGCCUACUAGAAAGAUUAAAAUCUGUAAAAGGAACUAGGCAAACUCCUAAGGCCCGACUGUUUACCAAAAACAUAGCCUUCAGCCGAACCAAGUAUUGAAGGUGAUGCCUGCCCAGUGACACCACGUUCAACGGCCGCGGUAUCCUAACCGUGCGAAGGUAGCGCAAUCAAUUGUCCCAUAAAUCGAGACUUGUAUGAACGGCUAAACGAGGUCUUAACUGUCUCUUACAGAUAAUCAGUGAAAUUGAUCCCCUUGUGCAAAAGCAAGGAUAAACCCAUAAGACGAGAAGACCCUGUGGAACUUAAAAAUCAGCAGCCACUCCAUAACACAAACCAAACCUACUAGGCCUACCAUCACAACACACGCUGGCUAGCAUUUUUCGGUUGGGGCGACCUUGGAGAAAAGCAAACCCUCCAAAAAUAAGACCAUCCCUCUUAACCAAGAGCAACCCCUCAACGUACUAAUAGUAACCAGACCCAAUAUAAUUGAUCAAUGGACCAAGCUACCCCAGGGAUAACAGCGCAAUUCCCUCCAAGAGCCCACAUCGACGAGGGGGUUUACGACCUCGAUGUUGGAUCAGGACAUCCUAAUGGUGCAGCCGCUAUUAAGGGUUCGUUUGUUCAACGAUUAACAGUCCUACGUGAUCUGAGUUCAGACCGGAGCAAUCCAGGUCGGUUUCUAUCUAUGAAGAACUUUUCCUAGUACGAAAGGACCGGAAAAGUAAGGCCAAUGCUUCAGUGUACGCCUCCUCUCUAAGUAAAUGACCACAACUGAAUUACCUAAGAGACUUUCCACAUACACCCAGUCCUAGAAAAGGACC